CUGGUUUUAGCUGGGAUAGUUGUUGUCUUCAUAGCAGCUUGCGUGGGGUUGUUUGGGAUUUGUGCUGGCAACAGUGGUGAUAACACAGGGACGUUUUCAUUGUCACUGAGCAGAGCUUACACAGAGUCAAGGCCUUUUCUGCUCCUCACGCCACCCCAGUAGCGAAUGGGUUGUGGAUACAGGAGUCAGGAGGGGAUACAGCCAGGACAGCUGACCCCAGCUGACCCAAGGGAUGUUCCAUGCUUUAUGACAUCAUGCUCAGCAUAUAAAGCUCAGGGAAGAAGAAGGAAGGAGGGGACAUUCGGGGUGAUGGUGCUUGUCUUCCCAAGUCACCAUUACACGUGAUGGAGCCUGCCUGGAGAUGGCUGAGCCCCUGCCUGAUGAGGGGAAGAGCUGGCUGGAGAAAUGGAAAACAAAUCUUCCUUCCCUUCCAUCCACAUCAGAAAUCCAGACAGGAAACUGAAUUAUCACCCUGAAUUCAGCUCAUCUUGGAGCCAACCGAGCAGCAAAAUGCAGCUCCUCAGCAGGAAGGGAAGGAGCAACUCAUGAACACAGCCCACAAGGAGGAAGAAGAAAGGCUUGGAAAUCCAAACACAUAAAGGAGCAGUAAAUAAAUGACACUGUUUAAAGCAAA
Molecule: long non-coding RNA, 634 nt
Organism: Pezoporus occidentalis (night parrot)
Lineage: Eukaryota; Metazoa; Chordata; Aves; Psittaciformes; Psittacidae
Exons: 2
Source: RefSeq, a predicted model, not a curated record